UAAUAAGUGUUUUAUUGGCACUUUUUAAAUCCAUAUCCAACCUUGUGUGCAGUGUCAGUCGAUCUUCUUCAUGGAGAUCGACCAAACAUCAACCUUUAUCUUUUAACUCUUUGUCUGAAAAAUAUUAUGAAUAAACAAUUCAAAUACC
RNAcentral lists this unclassified non-coding RNA (148 nucleotides) under soil metagenome. RNAcentral describes it as "partial internal transcribed spacer 1". The record is from RNAcentral.